This 649-nucleotide small RNA is filed under the name Pongo abelii (Sumatran orangutan). RNAcentral's name for it is "retained intron". Lineage: Eukaryota; Metazoa; Chordata; Mammalia; Primates; Hominidae. The record is from RNAcentral.
GACCUCACGACCUGUGUCAGCAGAGCUGCCCUGCACCGCCAUGUGCAUCAUCUUCUUUAAGUUUGAUCCUCGCCCUGUUUCCAAAAACACGUACAGGCUCAUCUUGGCAGCCAACAGGGACGAAUUCUAUAGCCGACCCUCCAAGUUAGCUGACUUCUGGGGGAACAACAACGAGAUCCUCAGUGGGCUGGACAUGGAGGAAGGCAAGGAAGGAGGCACAUGGCUGGGCAUCAGCACACGUGGCAAGCUGGCAGCGCUCACCAACUACCUGCAGCCGCAGCUGGACUGGCAGGCCCGAGGGCGAGCACAGCAAAGGGAGACGUCAUUUGCUACUAUGGGAACCGAGGGGAGCCUGAUCCCAUCGUUUUGACGCCAGGCACCUACGGGCUGAGCAAUGCGCUGCUGGAGACGCCCUGGAGGAAGCUGUGCUUUGGGAAGCAGCUCUUCCUGGAGGCUGUGGAACGGAGCCAGGCGCUGCCCAAGGAUAUGCUCAUCGCCAGCCUCCUGGAUGUGCUCAACAAUGAAGAGGCGUGAGUGGGCGGGUCCUGCUGGGGUGAGCCCCAGUGUCCUGCCACCAGGGCAGAGGGAAAGGCAGGCCCUGCUGCCCCGGGAGGCCCAUGGAGGUGGCCAGGCUGGUUCCCCAGCUGCA